GUUUACUUUCCUUCUCUUAGAUGAUUGAAGUGGAUGAAUCUGAUGAGGAAGAAAACAGUCUUCCUACCACAGGAGCAGAUAAAAGGUAUUCAAGUACAUCAUCCAGCAAACAUAUGUCCCAGAGCCAAAUAGCUAAAGGAGUCAAUUUUGAAUCAGAUGAGGAUGAUGAUGAUGAUCCUUUUAUGAAUGUCGGUUCUUUAAGAAGAAACAGAAGAUGAUAUAUUUAAUGAAAGCCAGACAUUUUCAGGAUACAGGAACAAAAAUGGAAAUGUUGUAAGAAGAUUUUACAGUUAGAGAUGUUUUAAACAUCUCUAAUUUGUUAACUUGAGGAAUUUGCAAGAGUGAAUAGAGAACCUAAUGUAUAAGAGUUUAUAUUUUCAUAUACUAUUUCCUGAACAUAAUUCAAUUACUUACAUAUUUCCUAGUUUAUGGAAAUAAAAUCAGUAUAGGUUCUCUAGUAUUUUAUUUUUUUUCUUUUUUAGGACGUUGUUCUUGCUAGACAAGCACUUUUCCUCUGAGCUACAUCCCAGCCCUCCUCAUUUUUUCAAAUGUAGUUGUUAACAUUGGUAAGAAUGUUGUAUAAAUUUAGAACAUUAUAUUCCUGAUAUAUUAAUGUAUAUUCUAAUAAAAGCUUUGCUUAAAUGCUGGUUUUAAGGAAGGAUUAAAAUGCAACAUUAUACAUUUAUGCUUUAUGAUAAGGGUUUUCAUUAUCUUAAUAUUACAUUAAUCAGAGUUGAAGGGAAGAACUUACAAAAUUUAACCUCUUCAUAAUUUUUAAUAUUUUCUGAGAGGUUUUGGAUUAUGUGAAAUUAAAACCUUGUAUAUGCCUUGA
Molecule: long non-coding RNA, 832 nt
Organism: Dipodomys ordii (Ord's kangaroo rat)
Lineage: Eukaryota; Metazoa; Chordata; Mammalia; Rodentia; Heteromyidae
Exons: 3
Source: RefSeq, a predicted model, not a curated record